RNAcentral lists this ribosomal RNA (497 nucleotides) under uncultured bacterium. RNAcentral describes it as "partial 16S ribosomal RNA". It matches the Rfam family "Bacterial small subunit ribosomal RNA", at positions 28 to 507 of the family's 1533-position model. The record is from RNAcentral.
GAUGAACGCUGGCGGCGUGCCUAAUACAUGCAAGUCGAGCGAACAGACGCGGACCUUGCUCCUCUGACGUUAGCGGCGGGCGGGUGUGUAACACGUGGAUAACCUACCUAUAAUCCUGGGAUAACUUCGGGACACCGGCUCUAAUACCGGAUAAUAUAUUGAACCGUAUGGUUCAGUAGUGAUAGACGGUUUUGCUGUCACUUCUAGAUGUAUCCGCGCCGCAUUGGCUUGUUGGUAAGGUAACGACUUACCAAGGGGGCGAUUCGUAGCCGACCUGAUCGAGGGAUAGGCCGCAUUGGAGCUGAGACAGGGACCAGAGUACUACGGGACGCAGCAGAAGGGAAUGGGCCGCAGUGGGGGGAAGCCUGACGGAGCGAGGGCGCGUCAGUGAUGGAGGUCUUGGGUGCGUAAAGCCCUGUUAUGGGGGAUAAACAACUUUGGAAGUAACUAUGCACGUCGUGACGGUACCUAGUGAAAAAGCAACGGCUAACUACGUG